AGCUUUGGGCAAUGGCAGUAUCAUAGCCAAUGAAGUUCAUCAAGGCACAAUUAUUUCUAAUUGAAAAACUGAGCAACCGUUCUGAGUAUGCUGCAUAUACAGUACACAGGGCAUGUGGGGGCAUCCUCCAAGGC
This is a small nuclear RNA of Ochotona princeps (American pika), 134 nucleotides long. Its record names the gene U4. It matches the Rfam family "U4 spliceosomal RNA". Rfam says of the family: U4 small nuclear RNA (U4 snRNA) is a component of the major U2-dependent spliceosome. NCBI's taxonomy places the organism in Eukaryota, Metazoa, Chordata, Mammalia, Lagomorpha, Ochotonidae. The record is from Ensembl.